RNAcentral lists this ribosomal RNA (253 nucleotides) under uncultured bacterium. RNAcentral describes it as "partial 16S ribosomal RNA". It matches the Rfam family "Bacterial small subunit ribosomal RNA", at positions 524 to 776 of the family's 1533-position model. The record is from RNAcentral.
UACGUAGGGUGCGAGCGUUAAUCGGAAUUACUGGGCGUAAAGCGUACGCAGGCGGCUAGGUAAGACAGAUGUGAAAUCCCCGGGCCUAACCUGGGAACUGCAUUUGUGACUGCCUGGCUCGAGUCCGUCAGAGGGGGGUGGAAUUCCACGUGUAGCAGUGAAAUGCGUAGAUAUGUGGAGGAACACCGAUGGCGAAGGCAGCCCCCUGGGAUGAGACUGACGCUCAGGUACGAAAGCGUGGGGAGCAAACAGG